RNAcentral lists this long non-coding RNA (493 nucleotides) under Medicago truncatula (barrel medic). RNAcentral's name for it is "lncRNA gene1210". Lineage: Eukaryota; Viridiplantae; Streptophyta; Magnoliopsida; Fabales; Fabaceae. The record is from RNAcentral.
CUCCUAUAACCUUGUGGCCAGGAAGUUCACCUCCUUCACCAGGUUUUGCUCCCUGAGGAUUACAACUAUAACGUUAAGACACUGCCAUACCACCUUAAGUAAAAAACUACACUUUUACUAAACCUCACCAAAGAAAAAACGUAGGUUUCGAUUAAUGACGCAAGAGCACCCAUAGGUGCCUUUAUGUCACAGCAUCAUCUGCCAUGAAUAUAAAUUCAUAAACAACAGAACCGUAUGUCCAACAGGAAUGCAGGAGCACCAGUUGAUGAAAUUUUUAUUGGAAGCUGAGUAAAAGGACAAUAACCUUCAUUGAAAAAAACAAGUUAAACCAAUUACCUGGGCCAUCUUUAUCUGAAGUUCAUCAGCAUUUGUGAGGUAGUAACUUGAAACACCAAAUCUCCCACUAGCAACCUGCUUAAUGGCACUCCUUUUGGGAUUCCUUGAGCCAUCAGCAAGAGGCUCCAUACGAGAUGGUUGCUCACCUCCCUCACCU